AGUCAAUCCAAAUAUUUCUGCAGCAACAUGAGUUUCCGGAAGCUUGGGAAACUGACCGGUGAAAGUGGAGGUGACUUUGAGCAGCAGAUCAGAUUCGAAACACUCGGAUGUGAACAUAAGGAAUAGAUUCUUCACAUUUUAAAUGGAGUAACUUUUUCAUGUCGGUACUGUCCAUCGAACACUCAUAUGAGAAGGUAUACUUUCUCUCCAUUGCCGUGUUCUCUGUGCAUGUGCUGAUCCCAUCUCUACACGCCAUCACUACCUUAGAUGCUGCGGGUCUUCUUGUUCUGAUCUGCUGUCAAAAAUAUCCGAAGCUGCGCAUCCCACGGUGAUGUCAUUUUGAAGGCUAACAAAAAUAAACAAUCCGCACACGAGAAAUCGAGACACCAGCUGCAAUAAGUGAGGUUUUAUUCACGUGGGACUAUGCAAGUUUAAAUUUCCACCUAACCCGCUACUCGAAGUCACCUCCAUUUCACCGGUCAGUUUGCCAAGCUUCAGGAAACUCAUGUUGCUGCAGAAAUAUUUGGAUUGACUGUGACAGACGUCAAUCAGAGAGCCCACCCACUCUGCCCAUUCUCUCCUCUUCCUCUUCCAGAGCUGCUUCACUUCCUAUACGUACUCGAAACCAAAUGAGGAUAGCAGCUUUUAGACAAAUUGUUUUCCAGCAGCUACUCCGAGAGUUAACGCUGGUGUUCACGGUGAACAGCUGAAGAGCUGAGUCAAUACUCAGCAGCGAGGUUCUGGUUUGAAAUCAAUAUGUAGACAGGAGAAGGACUGCACUGUGCUACACCAGAGAAUAGAGAGAGGGUAAACAUCGCAAAUAGAUCCCGACCAUUACCCAAGGAACAACUGCUCAACUGCUGGAAGACAUCCAAUCUCUUCACAGCUUUGCUGAACCAAGAGGAGGUUGGUCAGUGAAACACAAUCUGGAAAUUGGUUGGGUCAGGGGAACUUUGACAUAUCAUCAGAUCUGAAACUGGUCAGAGCCUUUCAUCAGAACCAACCUUUCUGAAGGUUUGGCUGAGGGUGAUCGGUCAGGGGGAGGCUGGGAAGAAGUGUGAGUGGCUCCAAGUGUGGUGAGAUCAUUCAUUGAGCCUUAAGACACUCAUUCCUACAAGUGAGAGGUUGUUGUGUUUGAGGUGUACAAAGAAGGUUCACAGUUUGACAAUAUUUCUGAACACACAAGGUACAUCUGUUGUGUAACGGUUAACACAACUGCAGCCACCUGCAAAAGAAACCAGUCGCAGUUUGGUGCACUAUCAAGGCUCAUGACUAACCGACGUAUUCACAUGAGAGAGAAACCAUUCACAUGUGAGGUCUGCAACAAAACAUUCUCGGAGUCAUCAAACCUCCGCAGACACCGGCGCAUUCACACAGGGGAGAAACCGUUCACAUGUGACGUGUGUGAUAAAUCAUUCUCGCAGUCAGAGAACCUGCUGAGACACCAACGCAUCCACACAGGGGAGAAGCCAUUCACGUGUGAAGUGUGUGACAAAUCAUUCUCAGAAUCAGAGAACCUUCGCACCCAUCUACGCACGCACACUGGGGAAAAACCAUACACGUGUGAGGUGUGCGACAAAUCCUUCUCCCUCUCCUCUACCCUCCGCAAACACCAACAUGUUCACACAAAGGAAAAACCAUUCAAGUGUGAGGUGUGCAACAAAUCAUUCUUAGACUCUUCGACUCUCUGCUCACACCAACGCAUUCACACAGAGGAGAAACCAUUCACCUGUAAGGUGUGUGACAAAUCAUUCUCUAACUCAUCAACCCUCUGCAAACACAGACGUAUUCACACAGGGCAGAAACCGUUCAGAUGUGGAUUUUGUGAGAAGGCUUUCACCAACUCCUCUGAUCUGCUGAAGCACCAACACAUUCACACGGGAGAGAAACCAUUCACUUGCAAGGUGUGCUGUAAAUCAUUCUCGGCAUCAUCAUCCCUCCGCACACACCAACGCUUUCACACAGGGGAGAAACCAUUCACUUGCAACGUUUGUGAAAAGGCUUUCACCAUCUCAUCUGAUCUCCUGAAACACCAAUACAUUCACACAGGAGCAAAACCAUUCCCGUGCAAACUGUGUAAUAAAUCAUUUUCACAGUCGACAAAUCUCCGCAGACACCAACGUGUUCACACAGGAGAGAAACCAUUCACAUGUGAGGUGUGUGACAAAUCAUUCACGGAGAGAUCGAAUCUUCACAGACACCAGCGCAUUCACACUGUGGAGUAACUUUUCAACUGUGAGGUUUGUAAUAAAGGAAAUGUGAUGUCUUCAAACGUCCUAGGACAUCAGAGGAUUCACAAGGGGGGAAAUUCUUCAGGUUUGGUGUUUGCGACCAGGCUCUUACCCACUCCUCUCCCACUCUCUUUAAACAUCAGAUCUUACAGAGGUUAGAAACCAUUCGGGUGUGUGACAACUGAGUGUAACUUUGAACAGAAUGCUGACACUUGGAUAGAUCCUGACCAUUACCCAAGGAACAGCUGCACAACUGUGGGAAGACAUACAAUCCCUUCACAGCAUUGAUGAACACAGAGAAGGUUGGGCAGCGAAACAACCAUCUGGAAAUCUUUUGGGUCAGGGGAGCUUUGACACAUCAUGAGAUCUGAAAUCGGUCAAUGGUCUGCAGCCUUCCAUCAGCACCAACUUUUCUGAAGAUUUGGCUGUGGAUGGUUGGUCAGGGUGAAGCUGGGAAGAAGAGUGAGUGGCUCCAAGUGUAGAUAAAGCUUCAAUCAUUCAUUCAGCCUCAUGAAUCAUUUCUACAGGUGAGAGGCUAUUCAAAUGUGAGGUGUGUGAAGAGGAUUCCAAAGGCUCGUAAAAUAUCCUGACACACAAGGUGCAUCUGUGGAAUAACUAUUAACAAAUGAAUAGUUACAUGGAAGAGAAACCCUUCAAGUGUGAGGUGUGUGAUCGAGCUUUUAAACAGUCAUUGAUGCUUCUGAAUUACUGUUGCAUUCAUGCAGGGGAGAAACCAUUCAAAUGUGAUGCGUGUAACCAGAGCUUUGCGUAUUCACACGGGGGAGGAAUCAUUUAGGUGCAGGGUGUGCAGUAAAUUGUUAUCACGGUCACUGACACUCCUCAUGCACCAACAUGUUAUAUGGAGAGAAACCACUUAAGUGCAACAAAUCAUUCUCAACAUCAUUAGACCUUCGUAUAUAUCAAUGCAUUCUUACAGGGGAGAGACCAAACCGUGUGAAAAGUCAUUCUUGUCAUCAUCAGUUCUCCAUGUGCAUCAAUGCAUUCACACAGAAGAGACUGGUCAGAUAUAAAGUGUGUAACAAAUUGUUCUCACAGUCAGGAAAUCUCUGCACAUACCUUCGCACCCACACAGGGGAGAAACUGUUCAAUAGUAAAGUGUCUGAAAGAUCAUUUUCUGCUUCACCAGAGAAUUCAGACAGGGGAGAAACUAUUCACCUGUGCCAUGUGCAGUAAAUCAUUCACAAAGUCAUAGAACCUCCUGUUCCCUCACAGGAUCCACAUGGGAGAGUGAAGGACUUACAAUGGAACUUUCAUGAUGUCUUUGCUCAUCCAGGGCACCACAGGAUUUACACAAUGGAGAGAGUCUACAGGUGCAGUGUUUGUGACAAGGCUUUCGCACAGUCAGCAUUUCUCUUCAUCAACACACCCACCCAGGAGAGAAACAAUUUAGUGUGACUUUUGUAAUGAAAUAUUAACAGUUUGUAGACCUUGUGGAACAUGAGUGAACCCACAAACGAAUGAUCAACCUAUAUUUUUGCCCAUCUUGUCCUCAGAGUAUUUACCUGUACACAGGGUGUUCAGUGGGACUGGGACACAGAACAAGAAGCAGCUUUCACUCCCAUCAAACACCAAGUGAUGACAUCACCAGUGCUGAGGGAUUAUGAUGUCAACAAUGGAGCCACCCUGCAGUGUGAUGUCAGUGACACAGGACUUGGAGCAUCCCCAUACAGUGAGGGCAACCCGUUGUAUUUGUAUCCAGUUAACACAAACUGAACAACACUGCACACGGAUGGAUAAAGACAGCCUUGCUUUUGAACCUUUUGGGGGAGAGAGAAAGCAAUCUGACCACAAGCCGUUCAAAGCAUCUCUCUCAAACCACUUGUAUUUGCACAAGGGCAUUUGCACAGGCUGUUAUUUUUCUUGUAGAGUCGAUACUUGGAAAUAAAGGACAAGCAAGGGAAGCAGAUGUACAUCGUCGACAUGCUGUCGAGAGCUGCUGUCACUUUCAAGUUGAUGGUGUUUGUACAAAGUGUGAAAUCUUUCAGCAACAGUAUGACAUGCUCAAGAGUCAUCAAUCCAGUGGAGACAUUGAACCAGAUCUUCAGGUCUCCGACUGUCAUAGACUGGAGGUAAGAUAUUGGAGCUGUUUACACUGACACACUGUUCUAUAGCAAAUGUGUAGGAAGUUUGAACAUCCAAUAAGUCAGGACCCUCCAAAAGUUCAGACAGUCCAUCCCUGAGACUUGAGACAAUUCCAAAGUAUUCGCCUGGAUAGUUACCAGGAAAUUUUAGGCAGGAAGAAACUUUGUAUAUCUGCUGGGUGUCCAUGCAGCUACUCACACUGACCUUGCAACUAUCCCACUACCACAACCCUCUAACUCCCUGAGAUCUGGCCUGAUGAGACCAUCACUCCAGCAGACUCAACUGUCCAGCUUUCAUCACCCGACUACCCAUUAAAAACCAAACUUAUCUAAGACCUGAACCACCAACUCAUUCACCAGCGCACCAGGUACCACCUGUACUCAUUCUCUUCACUGCUGUCUGUGUGGAUUCCUGCACUGAUUCUCUUUACUUUUCCAUGUAGAUUCCUGUAGUGAGGAAGUUCAUCUCACUGCUGCAUCAGAAGUUUGAUCAGAAAACCAAACUAGGUAAUCGGUAAUUUUCUGUCUAGUGUCAAACACAGGGACUCUGACUCAGAGUCAAAGGUUUGGAAUAACCUACCAAAUCAAGCAUACUACACAAGGUGUAACUUUUCAAAUGCUAGGGAAAGUCGAGGUAAAAGGAUGGCCUGCAUCCAUAAAGGACAGACAUGGUACUGUAAGAGAGUAAACGGAGAUGAAAUGAUCACCGAAGAUGGUGAUACACCAUGUACAAAAGAAGAAGGAUCAUUAACCUGAAAGAGAUGAGAAAAGACAUACUGAAGCACAUCCUACACAAAUUAUUAAGGAAUUGAGUCUAGUCUAUGGAAGGAAAGAGAAGUGCUCUACUGGCUAAAACAAGCAAUGAGAUAAAGGACCACAUCAGCAAGUGCUAUGUUUGUAAUGAACAUCAAACUAAACCAGAUAAAGAGCUGUUCAUGACUGCUGACAUCCCAGACAGCCCAUGGAUAAAACUUGGAGUAGACCUCUUCAUUCUCACUGGAACUAUCUUGUCACAGUCAACUGCUAUUCAGGUAGCGGGGAGUUACAGCAGUGACAUCAGUGACUCCCAGUGAGACUGUAGAAUGUAUGAAAGCACACUGCAGUCAUUAUGACAUUCCUGAUAUUGUGAUAAGUGAGAAUGACCGCAAUUCAUGAGUGACAAAUUCAGACAGUGAUUUGAGAAAUUCAGCCCCCCAUAUCAUUUUCACACUAUCACCAAUAUAAUAGAAAGGCUGAAGAACUGGUGAAAAUUGCUGAAGGGAUAAAUGUGUACAAAGUGAUCUUCAAGCGAAGAAACACACCUACCGAAGGCAGGAAAAGUUGCCCAGUCCAGCAGGUAAUGUCACAUGGUACACAGAUUGCUCUUCCAAUUGAUAAAAUUCGACUGAGGUCAGAAAUAGGAACGGGACUGAGUGACAAGAUCAAAGUGAAAUGACAGAAAGCUAAACAUUACUUUGAGCAAUGUGCUAAAUCAUUGUCAGGAUUGAGAGUUGGACAGCCAAUCAGAGUGCAGAUGUUCAAUGCAUUCAAGAAAAGGCAGCCUGUGUGGUAACUUGAGACUUGUGUACAGAAGUUGUCACUGUGAUCGUUAACAGUGAAAGGAAACUGUCAGAUCCGUUGUCAAAACAGCAGUCACCUAAAUGCAGCCAGAGAAAGUGCAUCUUCAUUGCAAAUAGCUGAAGAGGCAACUGAGUGAAGAACUGAAUGACCAUCAGUCUCAGAAGUAAGCCAGCCCCCCAACAAAUGCAAUGUAUCAGCAACAACAGUUAUCACAGUAACAAUGACUUCCUGAGAACACUAUGGGUAUAUUGACACCACCACAGCCUGCUUCAAGAAGCUCACUACCAUCUUCUCAAGGUCAGCUGGGAACUCUGCAACAAAUAGUGGCCUAGCAAGUGAUGUCCACAUCCGAGGAACAAAUUUAAAAAAACCUACUGGCAUGGCCGCUAUAUUCCCCAGAGAGACAGCGUCACCUCAAAAACCAAAAAACAUUGAGAUAAACAGCCAACAAUUAACACACAUAUGAGAAGACCUAAACAAUAUAAUGUGUGUAUAGACACAGAAGAAAUUGGAAGAGACAAAGAACAAAGUUAUUUGUUCAUUUCAUAAUUUUCUGUAUUGACUGUGAAUAUGGAGUAAUUUUUAAUUAAAUACUUUUUCAAUAUGAAGUGGGGUGAUUGAAAUAAGUAUCUUUAAACACUGUAAAUUGCCAUAUGAUUGUGAUCUCUGAUGUCGAUUGUAAAGAAAGAUUUUGAUGGAAAUAGCAAUUUUACAUGAAACAUGGAUCAUUGUUUACAAUUCCGAUUGCUCCAAAUACAUUUAAUGAAUUUCCAGAAGCUUGAGAAAUUGACUGGUGAAACAGAGGUGACUUUCAGCAGCAGAUCAGGUGAGGAUUUAAACUUGUCAUUGUCCCAUCUGAAUAAAACCUCACUGACUUAUUA
Rhincodon typus (whale shark) is the source of this 6774-nucleotide RNA transcript. It is a transcript of the gene named zinc finger protein 271-like, with no coding region annotated. NCBI's taxonomy places the organism in Eukaryota, Metazoa, Chordata, Chondrichthyes, Orectolobiformes, Rhincodontidae. The record is from RefSeq and is a predicted model, not a curated record. The transcript has 4 exons.